RNAcentral lists this long non-coding RNA (372 nucleotides) under Homo sapiens (human). RNAcentral describes it as "non-protein coding lnc-MB-11:4". Lineage: Eukaryota; Metazoa; Chordata; Mammalia; Primates; Hominidae. The record is from RNAcentral.
AGAGCGCCGAGCGCAUCGAAUAAAACUCGGAGCCUGCUGAGCGCGGGAGCUGGCACUUAUUUAUUGAGAAUUUGCUAUGUCCCAGCCUUGCCCUAGAAGCUUACAAACAUUAUUUCACUUAAUCCUCACUGUAUUCCUGUCGCAUUUUGCAGAAGAGAACCAGGCUGAGAGAAGUUAAGUGACGUGCCCAAGGAUACACAGCUCUCUGCAUGUGACACGCUGACUCCCCUUCUGCCAUGAUUGUAAGUUUCGUCACUAGAAGCAGAUGCCGACACUAUGCUUCAUGUACAGCCUGCAGAACUGUGAGCCAAAAUAAUAUUUAAAAAUGCGAAGAUAUUUCAAAGUACAAACAUCCAUGUACCCACCACCCAG